UCCACGGUGGCGCGAGCAUUAGCAUUACAAUGCCUACGCACAAGAACGCAUGUGUGAUCAAGUUGGCGGGUUUGUUCAAAUGUGACUUCACAGGAGCUAGAGUACAAGCCGCUGAUGAGUCAUUGCUUACAGGACGACCAGCUUCUUAGCAUUUCUUCACGAUGGCCACUGUUGUUAAGACUGUGAUCUCCUGUAUUAGCCUUUAGUUGGACCAAGAGAGAACACUAUUUCCUUGGCAUCAGAGGCUCCUUUGUUACUAACUGUGCAUCACUGGUUCAUGAAGGACUAGGACAUGGUAGUAGCCCCAUCGCUACCAACAAAAUGAAUACUCCCAACCAACACGGCUCUUUUCAACCAAUUAAGUUGUGCUUCUACUCAAGGCAGAUUGAAGAGAUUGCUUGGCUGAAAAAAAACAGGUUGGAUUGUUUAAAUAUAAUCCCAGAUCAACACUCAUUGUUUUGCAGGCUUGCAUCUGUGGAUGGUUGAAAACAAAUCUUAAGAACUGAAAAAAAGUAGAGGGAUGAAAUAUGUUAAAUUGCUGCUUACAGGCUUGAGGAAAAGGACUUUUUGGGAAGUAUACAUGUAUUUAAGGUGUUUUGAAAAAUAAAAUACACUAACUAGUCAAGCAACAAUUGAAAAGAAAUGGAAAAAUGACAACUAAGAAGAUAAUAAGAUUUAUAUGAGAAACUCCAGUGAUGUGGGCUUGUAUCGUAUUUGGCCCCGAUCUUUGUUGGUUUGACACUGCUUUCAAUGAUGUUUCAACUACUGUUGUAAAGUGCACCUAUAUAUUUUGAAAUUGUGGCCUCCACGUGU
This 813-nucleotide long non-coding RNA is filed under the name Acanthaster planci (crown-of-thorns starfish). RNAcentral describes it as "uncharacterized LOC110990906, transcript variant X5". The record is from RNAcentral. Lineage: Eukaryota; Metazoa; Echinodermata; Asteroidea; Valvatida; Acanthasteridae.